UUUUUAAUAUAUUUUUGCUCCACGCGAGAAACAUGACGCGCGUGCGCGGUAUUUAUUAAACAAUGUAUCUUAUUUUUGACGUUUGCGGUAAGUAAUAGCUUGCGGCGCACUACUCACGCGUCUAGGGGCGGCGUUGCGGUGGCAAUGGUACCGCGUUGUGAAAGGGGGAUCCCAUCAGAACUUCGAAGUUAAGCGUGCUUGGGUGAGAGUAGUACUAGGAUGGGUGACCUCUUGGGAAGUUCUCGUGUUGCAUUCCC
Molecule: ribosomal RNA, 257 nt
Filed under: Hordeum secalinum
Lineage: Eukaryota; Viridiplantae; Streptophyta; Magnoliopsida; Poales; Poaceae
Source: RNAcentral